UGGGGAAUUUUGGACAAUGGGCGCAAGCCUGAUCCAGCCAUGCCGCGUGCAGGAUGAAGGCCUUCGGGUUGUAAACUGCUUUUGUACGGAACGAAAAGGUGCCUUCUAAUAAAGGGCGCUCAUGACGGUACCGUAAGAAUAAGCACCGGCUAACUACGUGCCAGCAGCCGCGGUAAUACGUAGGUUGCGAGCGUUAAUCGGAAUUACUGGGCGUAAAGCGUGCGCAGGCGGUUUUGUAAGACAGAGGUGAAAUCCCCGGGCUCAACCUGGGAACUGCCUUUGUGACUGCAAGGCUGGAGUGCGGCAGAGGGGGAUGGAAUUCCGCGUGUAGCAGUGAAAUGCGUAGAUAUGCGGAGGAACACCGAUGGCGAAGGCAAUCCCCUGGGCCUGCACUGACGCUCAUGCACGAAAGCGUGGGGAGCAAACA
This 427-nucleotide ribosomal RNA is filed under the name uncultured bacterium. RNAcentral describes it as "bacterial SSU rRNA". It matches the Rfam family "Bacterial small subunit ribosomal RNA", at positions 355 to 774 of the family's 1533-position model. The record is from RNAcentral.